AGAGCCCACAACUGCUGACUGUUUUUUUUCUGUGUCCUUCGUUAGGCACACACAGCCCGGAAGUGCAGGCGGUUGUGAGUUGCCUGAUGUGGGGGUCUGGAAACCAAGCUCAUGUCUUCUGCAAGAGCAGCAACUCCUUUUAACUGCUGCCGAGCCCGUCUCUCCAGCUUCUGUGCAGUUCGUUUUGGUUGUCCAUUUGAUGGACCUGGAGAUUCCCCAGCGGCUGGGAGCGUGGAUGAAAGAAAAAGGAAGCCCAAUGUGGCAGGCAUUCCCUCUCUGCUGCCUGGCUGCUCUGUCCCCUCACAUCCACCUCCUGCCCUGUCACCCCAGACCUGCAGCGAUGGGACAGUUGAUCGUGGAAGGAAUCGGUGAGCCCAAGCAGAUCUUCCCUCCUUCAAACCUUUUCAGGGUACCCUCAUCACUUACCAGUUUCUCUGUGCCCUGUGGGAACAGGAGAAGUUGGAAGUGCAGCC
Molecule: long non-coding RNA, 473 nt
Filed under: Rattus norvegicus (Norway rat)
Lineage: Eukaryota; Metazoa; Chordata; Mammalia; Rodentia; Muridae
Description: long non-coding RNA NONRATT005906
Source: RNAcentral